GGCAAUGAUGAGGUUCUUCCCAAGUAUUCUUCAGCCAUCUCAACCAAACUUAUUAGGAUUUCUUCAAUGCGAAUCUAAAACAUGAGAACCUAGAAGUACUUGUAAAGGGGUCUGGCCACCUCAGUUCUGGGUCCUCUGAAAUUUAUUGGAUGACUCAAAGCCGUGAAGUUGAGUCUCAGCAGGGGCUUUCAUGAGUGCAGAACAUGUCAACUGACUGAAGUUCUUCCUGACUGAUUCUCCACUAUCUCAGGCAAACUUGUUUUUGCCUUCCUCCUCAAUGUAUGACUGACUUCCUCACGCUCAUUUGCUUACAUCACAGUAACUCAGGUGAAAAAGAAGCAAGCAUGAAAUUAAAAUCAGGGCAUCUUAUUAAAAUGAGACAAAUUUAUUAA
This is a long non-coding RNA of Peromyscus leucopus (white-footed mouse), 392 nucleotides long. RefSeq lists it as uncharacterized. Lineage: Eukaryota; Metazoa; Chordata; Mammalia; Rodentia; Cricetidae. The record is from RefSeq and is a predicted model, not a curated record. The transcript has 4 exons.